GCUGCCUGCGGGCCGGCGGCUGGCCGGGAGCUCGGCGUGGCCCGUGCCGGUCGGGGGAUCCCGUCGCAGGUGGGCAGGGACGGAGUGAGCCGCACCACUGCCGGCCCGACGCCCAUCCCCAGAGCUCCGCGCCCCUGGAGGCCUCCUCCUCCCUCUCCGGGCCGGGUUGGGGUCCUCCUGGAAGUCCUGCCCCGCUCCCUUCUCCAAAUCCGCAGGGCCCUGGCUCUAGGGAGACAGCGAGGCUCGUACAGAAUAUGUGCAAAUGGUUUCUACAAGCAGAGUCGAAAGACACCCGUUUGCUGUAGGGUCCUUUUGGUGAGGGCGCGCGGGAAGCCGGGGUGCUCUCCCCGCGGAGGCGCGGCCGGGCCCGGGGCCUGCGAGCUGGGAGAGGGCAGGCGCCUUCCUCGCGCCCCGGGACCCUCGCCGCCUCCUCUCCCCGCCUCUGCAGACGCAGCCGGGCGCCUUCCUCCCGGAGGGCGGCUCGCGCACCCAGGCUCCGCGUCUGGUCCCAACAGAAAUGAAUGAAGACGCUGUUCCGGUUAACUCCAGGUCACGAGAACAGUGAGGCACUUCUGAAACGAACCCAUUAGGAACAUUGAAACAAAUAAAAAAAAGCCCGCAUCUGGCAGCGCCCACUACAGGCUGCUGACGUAGACCCUGCUGUCCUGGAGCUCCUCCUCACUCGGUCGACCCCGCGCGCGCACACAGCCCGCGUCCUCUUCGCCCCCGGCUCGGUCCUGCCCCGCGUCCCUGCAGUUCACAAAGGGCGUCGGCCAGCUCCUGGGUGGUGACCUCGAUGAACUUGGGAUCUUGAGCAAACUGCCCCAGUCCUUCUGAAAUCAAGACCUGAAGGAGCGGGGUGGGAGCCAUGAAGAACCAAAGGAACAUUACUCCUGGAGCCCAGCUCUUCCCUUGAGGGCUAGAGCGAGGGGGUAUCUGGUCUCAUCCUGAGACGUCUCCUCCUGACCCGCCAUGGCUGCCUGGCUCUCCCGGGAGUGGCACCUACAAUAUCCAAGAUGAAGAAAAACAUCAGAAACUGCCAACCUUCCUCCACUUCCUUCAGCAAGUAAAGCAUCACACACGCACACACAUGCAGGUGUACACACGUGCACAAACACAAGCACACACACGUGAACAGGCAUACAGUUGCUGGUGCUUUGUUCUCCUGUGAUUGCUGAUGGAUCCAUAGAAGUGUUCAGAUUAGGGUGAGGGUCCCAUUUGGGAGAAGGAUGUCUGCUGUGGAUCCAGGAGUCCUGACCCCAAUCCACUUACCCUCUGGUCCAAGUCACUUGGUCCACCUCAUGCCUCAGUUUCCCUAUGAAAUUGGAAUGACAUAUGCCCUGCCUAACUUAGAGGCUGCCCCCCACUCACCUCCAGCUAUGACACCUGGGUCUUUGGCAUUUGGCAUAGCUGAGAAGUCCUUGGCCUCUUAUUUUGAUGGUGCCCUUGAUUCUGACACUGGCACCCUGGGGUAAAGGCACAGAGAGGAAGCCUCACCUAGAGGGGUUUGCUCUCCUGAGCAGAAGGCAGUGAGCCUGAGUCCCUGCUGAGCCUGAAUCCCUCCUGAGCUCCAGAUCCUCACACAUCGGAACGUGCCUUUCCCUGCUGGGACAGGGUCAGGUCAUCUUUAGCUCUGGACCAAGGCCUCUUCCUUUUCCUGUCUGAGCUCAGCUCAGUGCCUCCCUUUGUCUUGCUUUCUAUAGACCUUGCAUGCUGGGCCCACUUUAUCCUCAGACCCCUGAGGGCAUCAGAGAAAGAUCCUGGUCCAUCCUCUCAGAGCCGAGUGCUAAAUCAGUGCCCUGGCUCUGAGCAUCCCAGGCAGGGUAGAAGCAAUUCUCUCUCUCGAGGAGGAGGACUGCAGACUGCCACCCGCCCCGCAGUGGAAGGAAAGAUGAGAGGGGUCGAGAGUGCGCCAUGGCACCACCCACCCUGAAGAUGUCAUCUUCAGAAGCAGCGGACACAGCCUCCUUCAUGGCCUUGUCCAGCUCCUCCUCAGCGGUGAGAUCUCCAGAGAUGGCCCGUCGGAUCUCAGGCCCGAUGUCAUGCAGUGUGCGCAAGCCAGCCUGGAAUCCAAGGGGAGGAUGAGAGAAGCUUGUUUGGCUUGGUACUGGACUUGGGAUGAGAGCUCUUCCUUCUACGUUCCAAGAGAGAAGCUUCUUUGGCUUGGUACUGGACUUGGGAUGACAGCUCUGCUUCUCUGAGGGCCGUCCUGACCAGGGCAAACAGGGUGGCAUUGAACAUGACUGUCCCGUCGCUGUUCAGAGGCAUGUUCAUGGAGACCAGGCGCUGCAGGCGAAGAGAAGCAAAGCUGGUGAUGAUGGCAGGCGGUGCUUAGGGGACCGCAGAACACCGUGGCAGAGUGAUAUGGUUUGGCUCUGUGUCCUCGCCCAAAUCUCAUGUUGAAUUGUAAUCCCCAGAAUUGGAGGUGGGGCCUGAUGGAAGGUGAUUGCAUCAUGGGGUGGAUUUCUCAUAAAUGGUUUGGUACCAUCCCCUUGGUGAGUGAGUACUCAUGAGAUCUGCUUGUUUAAGUAAGUGUGUGGUCCCUCCCCCUUCUCUCUUGCUCCCUGUCUGUCCAUGUGACGUACCUGCCUCCCCUUUGCCUUCCACCAUGAUUGAUUGGAAGCUUCCUGAGGCCUCCCCAGAAGCAGAAUGCUAGUGCCAUGCUUCCUGUACAGCCUGCUGAACUGUGGGCCAAUUAAACCUGUUUUCUUAUAAAUUACCCAGUCUCAGGUAUUUCUUUACAGCAGUGCAAGGAUGGCCUAAUACACAGAGGAUGCUGGGGGUGACACGCAGCUUGUGUGGGUGUUGCUGGAGUGGGCAGGGAGUGAAUGCUCCCUGAAGCAUUCCAGGGAGAAUCUUGCCUUUGCCACAACUACUUUUGACCCUCCUCGUGGAGUGGGAGAGGUAUGAAAUUUGUCCUCAUUAGACCUUCACUUCCACAAAAGGAUGUGAAGGCCACCCAACUUUGCGCCCUGCUCGAAAGUCUGCUCAGGCGUGCAGGUGUGCUCUCCACUGGCAGCAAAGACCGGCUGUACGCCAGCAUGUGCUGGGAGCCCACCUGCCAGGCAGCAUUCGUCCACAGCCCAGAGAAGAGAAAGGAUCACAGGAGCUUUGCCUGCAGGAGAUGCUACAUGUCCUCUCUGUGUAUUGACAAAUAUGCUUCUGCAUCAAGUUGGAGCAGAAGCUUGCUGACACUGGAUAGUGCUGUCUUGCCCUCUUCUUUCCCAGCACACACCCCCAGAACAGGCUUCCCUGGCACGGAGCUCUGGUGUGGGGCCUUCAGCAUGCAAUGGGUCAUGACGAGCAAGCGCGGUGUGAAGCUCACCACAGCGUCCAUGCCAAGGGCAUGCUCAAGGGGGGCUAUUUGUCAGCUCACACGGUGACCUCCUGCUAAUCUCAGUGUCUAGAAGGGUUACACUUCUCCUGAGUGACCAGAUCUUGAUGAGCCUCAUGGACGGUGUGAACUGUAUCUUGGCCACCGGAAAGUUUCGCACCCAGGCUUCAGCCUGCCCAGGCCCGUCCGGAGGCCACAACGGACGCACUUUAGCCCCCUCCAGGCUGCACCCCUCCCCACCCUUGCCUUGCAUGGUGUUUGUACCUUGCAUUUAUUUUAUGCUCUUUUCUGAUAUUUUCUAUGC
This 3638-nucleotide long non-coding RNA is filed under the name Homo sapiens (human). RNAcentral describes it as "HSALNT0366145". The record is from RNAcentral. Lineage: Eukaryota; Metazoa; Chordata; Mammalia; Primates; Hominidae.